UAGUCCAGACCGUAAACGGUGGGCACUAGUUGUGGGAACCUUCCACGGUUUCUGCGACGCAGCUAACGCAUUAAGUGCCCCGCCUGGGGAGUACGAUCGCAAGAUUCAAACUCAAAGGAAUUGACGGGGCCCCGCACAAGCAGCGGAGCAUGCGGCUUAAUUCGACGCGACGCGAAGAACCUUACCAAGGCUUGACAUAUAGGGAAAAGUGGCAGAGAUGUCAUGUCCGCAAGGGCUCUAUACAGGUGGUGCAUGGUUGUCGUCAGCUCGUGUCGUGAGAUGUUGGGUUAAGUCCCGCAACGAGCGCAACCCUCGUUCUGUGUUGCCAGCAUUUAGUUGGGGACUCACAGGAGACUGCCGGGGUUAACUCGGAGGAAGGUGGGGAUGACGUCAAAUCAUCAUGCCCCUUAUGUCUUGGGCUGCACGCAUGCUACAAUGGCCGGUACAGAGGGCUGCAAUACCGUAAGGUGGAGCGAAUCCCAAAAAGCCGGUCUCAGUUCGGAUUGAGGUCUGCAACUCGACCUCAUGAAGUUGGAGUUGCUAGUAAUCGUAGAUCAGCAUCGCUACGGUGAAUACGUUCCCGGGGCUUGUACACACCGCCCGUCACGUCACGAAAGUCGGUAACACC
RNAcentral lists this ribosomal RNA (628 nucleotides) under uncultured Actinomycetes bacterium. Its description in RNAcentral is "bacterial SSU rRNA". It matches the Rfam family "Bacterial small subunit ribosomal RNA", at positions 791 to 1421 of the family's 1533-position model. The record is from RNAcentral. Lineage: Bacteria; Bacillati; Actinomycetota; Actinomycetes.